GAUGAAGAACGCAGCGAAAUGCGAUAAGUAGUGUGAAUUGCAGAAUUCAGUGAAUCAUCGAAUCUUUGAACGCACAUUGCGCCCUUUGGUAUUCCAAAGGGCAUGCCUGUUCGAGCGUCAUUUGUACCCUCAAGCUUUGCUUGGUGUUGGGCGUCUUGUCUCUAGCUUUGCUGGAGACUCGCCUUAAAGUAAUUGGCAGCCGGCCUACUGGUUUCGGAGCGCAGCACUAGUCGCACUCUCUAUCAGCAAAGGUCUAGCAUCCAUUAAGCCUUUUUUUCAACUUUUGACCUCGGAUCAGGUAGGGAUACCCGCUGAACUUAAGCAUAUCAAUAAGCGGAGGA
RNAcentral lists this unclassified non-coding RNA (341 nucleotides) under soil metagenome. RNAcentral describes it as "partial contains 5.8S ribosomal RNA, internal transcribed spacer 2, and large subunit ribosomal RNA". The stretch from base 1 to 120 matches the Rfam family "5.8S ribosomal RNA", at positions 35 to 154 of the family's 154-position model. The record is from RNAcentral.